Non-coding RNA from Elaeis guineensis (African oil palm), 2468 nucleotides. Lineage: Eukaryota; Viridiplantae; Streptophyta; Magnoliopsida; Arecales; Arecaceae. The record is from RefSeq and is a predicted model, not a curated record.
CAAACUUUGCAUAUGUUGUAUGAUUGGCUUUCAACCUGGCAUUAGCCCUCAGAAAUUUGUGCUGACUUUUUGGUCAAGGCAACUUUUGGAAGAGAGAGCAGCCCUUAGUGAAACCUGGAAGGCUAGUUCAUGGAUAGAGAAACUUUAAAUAUUGCUUAUUUAAAUCUCAAGCAGCCAGUAAGAUUUCCCUAGGUUUGAAAAGUUCCUAGAGCAAGAAGUUAGAAGACAAGGGUUUAUAUAGGACUCUACAUCAUUAUGUGUGUCACUAAUCAUAAGCUAGACAUAAAUUAAACUACCAUCAUGUGAUGCUAUAAUUGAAUCAUAUGGACAAGAGUGCUAGGAACAUUAUAAAUAAAAGCAUGAAUUUGUCUGUCACUGAAUUGGCUUCUUGAUCUAUCUUAUACCUCAACUUAAAUACUUCAGCAGUCAAAGCAAUUUUCAAAAUAUAGAUAAAUUGUGCAGAUGACUUGCUAGAGAUAAUGCAUGUUUUUUGGUUCUUCUAACAUUUAUGUAAAUAUGAAUUUCAGUUCUUCUGUACCUAAUUGAAGCAAGUUCCUUCAACUCAUUGGAAUUAAAGAAGGGACUGUUUCUUCUUUAAUCUUUAAGAUACUAUUCCGUUUUGCCCUUUCAGAACAGGCACUAUGUGGCCAAUACUGAUGUGAAUUUCCAUGUUAAUUGGUGUUAUAAUCAUCAUUCUUUACAUCUGUGGUUUUGCUCUCCAAAAAGAUCGAAUAAAUAUCUCAUGUAAAAUUAAGGGAAACAUCAGUGGUAGGUAAAGGUGAUCCUCAAAUUAGUGGGCACUCCCCACAAAUUUGUAUGGCAUGCUGAGCUCAAUCAGAUUUAGAACUUUUGGAGAUGCACAAAUCAAAAUUGUCAGAGUUUGAGUUUUCUAAUUGUUAUUCUAGCAGUUAUGACUAUACAUGCUGAUAACGUUUCUUUUCUUCUCCUUGCUAAGAAAAAGGUGGCUCAGUGCAUGCGGCUCCUGCUAUUGUAGGGUCUAGAGAGGGCAGAUGUACGAAGCCUUGCCCCUCUGUGUGGAGAGGCUGUUUUCAUGUUUUGUACCUAAGACCUCCAAGUCACAUGGAACAAUCUCACCGUUGCGCCAAGGCUCACCGUCGUUUCUUCUCCUUGCUAAAUUUUCUUAUAAAUUCUUUUAGAUCAUCCAUAAUUUGAUUUUCAUUUACUCAGCUGUUGUCUCCUUUCAUGUUGGAUUUCUUUAUUGGUCCCAUAUGAUGCAGCGCCUGAGGACAUUUCUUCUGGGGCUCAUUAUUUGGAUCUGAAGAAACUGAUUAGGGAUGAUAUCAUAUGGGUUGACAAUGUUGAUUGGCUCUUAACUGCUACAAUCUAUAUCGAGGGAUGUGAAAUUAUUGGAAUAGAUUGUGAAUGGAAACCUAAUUAUGAGAGAGGCAGCGGACCAAACAAGGUAUCUAUCAUGCAGAUUGCUUCGGAAGAUCGAGUGUUCAUCUUUGAUUUAAUAAAGUUAUAUGAAGAUGAACUAGAAGUGUUAGGCAGUUGCUUUUAGCGCAUUUUGUGCUCUUCAAAUGUUCUAAAGCUUGGCUAUAACUUUCAAUGCGAUCUCAAUCAGUUGUCAUAUUCUUAUGGAGGACUUGGAGUGUUUUGAUUCCUAUGUCAAACUUCUCGAUGUUCAAAAGCUGUUCAAGGAGCCUAACGGUGGUCUAUCUGGGUUAGCAAAGAAAGAGUAUGCUGCUCUUGAUGCUGCUGUCCUGGUUCAUAUAUUCCAUCAUGUCUGUAACCAGUGUCAUUGUGGUGCUAUCAAGGAGAGAUGCAAAAUUGAAUGGAAAUCUCACAUUGUAUCCCGUAUUAGCAGCACAAGACAUAUGAACGUGUCAUAAAGUAGUGAAUAUGGCAAUAACAUCAAUUAACAAUUCAUUUCCAGGUUCGAGUCUUGGAGCAGCCAUGUGCCAAAAAAAAAAAAGGUUAGGUUUGUCUUUGGUUUGCCGCUGCCAAGGCUUCAGACUGUCGGGAACAUAACUGGUAUCAAUUACAGUAUCUGUAUCGGUACCAUGUUGGUUCGGUGUCAGUACAGGUCUGUUACUCGGUGUGCAUCUCGUACCGAGUAUUGUUCGCUAUCAAUACUGUACGACAUUACUAAUAUGGGAAGGCACAGUCUGGUUGCAAUAUUUUCUUCUGCAUGGCUUUCUGUUGGUAAUCUCACGGAGGGGGAUGCAUGUUUAGUCUAAGGCUUUGUAUAUGCUGUGUGGUUAAGAUUAUGUGUUGGUGAUCCUGCCAGCAUGCGUGGGGGUUCAACAUCCCACUCUUACAAAAAGGCAUAUUUCUGCAGAAAGGGAACUUCGACUUCAACCCAUGCGUCUUCCAGCUGCUUCAAUAAUUGUAUAUUCAAUUAGUCUUUUGACAUACAAAGAUAUCUUUGGUUUAAUUUCACAAUUAUUUUCUAAUGGAGAUUGCAACCGUCAAAUGGAAUGCCCAUAACUUCCUGUUUCCUCUUC